ACUCCUACGGGAGGCAGCAGUGGGGAAUAUUGGACAAUGGGCGAAAGCCUGAUCCAGCCAUGCCGCGUGUGUGAAGAAGGCCUUCGGGUUGUAAAGCACUUUCAGUAGGGAGGAAAAGUUAGGUGGUUAAUACCAUCAGCCCUGACGUUACCUACAGAAGAAGCACCGGCUAACUCCGUGCCAGCAGCCGCGGUAAUACGGAGGGUGCGAGCGUUAAUCGGAAUUACUGGGCGUAAAGCGUACGUAGGCUGUUACUUAAGCUAGAUGUGAAAGCCCCGGGCUCAACCUGGGAACUGCAUUUAGAACUGAGUAGCUAGAAUGUGUGAGAGGUAAGUGGAAUUUCCAGUGUAGCGGUGAAAUGCGUAGAGAUUGGAAAGAACACCAGUGGCGAAGGCGACUUACUGGCAUAACAUUGACGCUGAGGUACGAAAGCGUGGGUAGCAAACAGGAUUAGAUACCCCUGGUAGCGACU
This 472-nucleotide ribosomal RNA is filed under the name uncultured bacterium. Its description in RNAcentral is "bacterial SSU rRNA". It matches the Rfam family "Bacterial small subunit ribosomal RNA", at positions 335 to 796 of the family's 1533-position model. The record is from RNAcentral.